Molecule: non-coding RNA, 7079 nt
Organism: Styela clava
Lineage: Eukaryota; Metazoa; Chordata; Ascidiacea; Stolidobranchia; Styelidae
Source: RefSeq, a predicted model, not a curated record
GGUGUUCAUAUCAGUACUGAGUAAGGCAAAUUUUAUCUGUAGAAUGGAUGGGUUUCGGGCCGAAGCUGCCCGUGAGCAUAAAUCAAAAAUACUGAAUUCUUAUUCGAAAAUGAAAGAUGCUGGAUUGCUCUUGGAUUUUAAUAUUGGAAUUAAUAAUAGAUUAUUCCCAGUUCAUCGCAGUUUAUUGGCUGCAGGAUCGGAUUAUUUUCAAGCCAUGUUUCUUCAUGAUAAAAAAGUUGUUGAGCAAGGUGUCGUGGAAAUCAAAAAGGUUGAACGCUGAACCUAUGAGCCGAUGCAUAGAGUUCUUAUACACAGGAGAUACAGACAUAAACAAUGAAAAUUGUCAGGAUAUUCUCCAUGUAUCAAGCAUUCUGCAAAUUGACGCUUUGAGAAAACUUUGUUUCCGUUUUCUGCAAACCAAUUUGUCUCCGGAAAACUGUUUAGUUGUUGCUCAUUUGGCAGAUAUUUACAAUGACCCUCAUGCAAGAACUAGAGCAAAGGAACUAGUAGUCGAUGAAUUUGAGAUGAUUGUGAAGGCGGAUUUGUUCCCCUCCAUCAGUUCAACAGAUCUUAUAUACUACUUGGAUAAAAGUAGAGUAGAUUCACAAGUAUCGUGGUUGGCUAUUACAACUUGGAUCCGAACUAACCGAGACCAAAAGGAUCUCAUCCGAAUCAUGGAUGAUGCACUAAAAGUCAUGAAAUUACCAUUCGCGUUUCUUCUGACGACUGGUCUGGAUAGCGACAUUUUUGACAACCGUACCUUGGUAAAUUCAGUCUCAAAACAUGUUUUUAUGAAAACAGAAAACUUGAAAGAAAAUAUUACUGCAAGCAAUUGUAUCAAAUUAAAAAAGUUGGCUCGUGAUUUUCUUGACGUCGACGGAAAGCCACUAAAGCUUAUCAAUCAAUUCAUAGUCGACCAUAUUGAGGAAGUUUCUAAGUGUGCUGGUUACGAAGCUUUCAGCGACGACAGCGUUGAAGAAUUGGAAGCAAAGAUGAUCAACUGCGUUUCUGAUAAAGUAAAGUACGAACUACUAUCGACGUGGGCUCAUUUCAAACUAGAUCGACGUACACAUUUUUCUCGUAUGUUUAAAUUGAUCAAAGCUCAAGGAGCUCUCAAUCGGAUUUAUUCAACUGGAAAUUGAAAAAAGAAAAGUUAGUGGAACAAUCUCCGAGUUGCAUUGCAUUGCUGGACUCAUGCUUUUACCCCAGCGAUGAAAAUUUCGAUAGUGAGAGUGAUACCAUUUAUUUUACAAAUGGUUUAGAGAAAUUAAUCGAUGAUGAUGAGUUCAAGUUCGUAUCUGAAGAAGAUUUUGAAAUAUAUUUGAAAAUUGCGUGACCAUGCUUUGGAAAGGAAGUGGAAAGCAGUGAAACGUUGGAUGGAAAACAAGAAUGAUGCAAGCACAUUGUUCAAAGAUUUACUAACUAUAUUGAAAGCUCCAUUUGAGUUUCUUUUCAAUAUAGUUGUAAAUGAUCCGUUUUUCGAGAACGAAUAUGAGCUAAAAGUAAUUGCUCUUAGUCACAUUUUCUCUUUAAUUUCAGAAGUUGGAGAAUUAUGCGACAAAAUUGAUUUGAACAAUUGCUUCAUCCUGAAAACUCUCAACGCCCAGUAUAACAAUAUCAAUUACAAUCUUUGGAAUUCAGAGAUUGAGAAGUUCCUGACGAUCCACGCACCACUUGUUCUCAGAAGAAAAGAGCUAUUGGAUUUCAGUAAAGUUGAAAUCGAAAAUUUGAUACAAAUGACUGAGUGCAGUGCAGACUUCAAGGCUGAAGCAUUGCUAAAAUGGGUGAAGGAAAACUCAGAAAGAUUUGAUUUGCUACCAGGUCUUUUAAAACUCAUCAACCUACAACUUCUUUCAUCUUCUACCGUUAAUACGUUGCUCACUGAUCCUAUCCUGAAAAAAUUUCAAGACUUGCUUGGAAGUAUGGAAGAGUUGGGAUCCGGAAUAUUGACCGUGGACAAGAAUGUCUACGAAGAGAUCACAGUAUGUGAUAUAUUAGCUAUGGAUUGUCGGGCAUGGGAUAUAUCUGUGAUCUCUCGAGUGCAACAACAUUUGUAUUACCGCAAAUGAAAAAGAAUUUCCGUAUGCAAAUAAUCAAUGUGGAUGAAAACGUAUACGGAAUAAAUGAAAGGGAAAUUUUUAAAACUAAAUAAGCAAGGAAAUUGGGACUAUUUAUCGCACAUUCCAGAGAGCGUUAGAAGUGGACACGUCAACUUUAAUAAUUUUUUUACAGUACCACCCAGCAGAGUAGUUGCCUUCCAGGAUUGUUUGGCUUUUAUUUCAAGAUCUGAACUAUUGAUGUAUAAUCCUGUCACGAAUUCGUGGUCAGAUACAUUACCAGGAUGCAAUUUGAAUUUAGGAUACUGCACGGCUUCUUCAGGCAAUUACAUUUAUGCAAUGGGUGGUAAAACGAGAAAAGGAAAACGAUUUGAUGGGAUCGAAAAGAAAUGGUCAGAUAUUGCAAAAAUGCCCAAAAAUCAGGAAUUUUGCGUCUUGUGGCUGUGUUUACAUGAUAUGGUUUUUCUGGCUGGGGGUGUUUUUAAUGACUGGUUUGGAUUGUCGAACACCUCGUUGGAUAUAGUUCAGUGUUAUAAUCAAAAAUCUGAUUGCUGGUCAAAAAUCUCAAAUAUGUGUCAUCCAUGCAUGAGCCCAAGCCUUUGUGUGGUGAACAAUCGAUUAUAUGUGGCUGGAGAAAGAAAGGAUGAAUGUCUUUCAAUUGAGUUAUAUGAUGAAAAAAAUAAUCAAUGGGAAGUGGUUCAAGAACUUGAAACUACGAAACAGUAUUUUUCCGCAUGUGCCAUUCCACGAGGAUUUCUAUCCUUCGACUCUCGUCAAUGUUUCACUGUUGGAGAAAGCCUUGAUUUACUAGAUCACAUUGAUACUGAAUUUGAUAGAAAAGUAAAAAAAAAAUACUCUGUCAAGCAGAUUAUUCCGCCAUCUGGUGGAGAUAUGAAUCUACUAGGAUGCCGACUUAUUUUCCCUCCUUCAGCAUUGGAUGAAGAAACUGAAGUGACCUUGGUUGUAGACAGUGGUCCUGAAAAUUCACCUGGUUUUAUCGAAGACGAAACAUCGGACAUAUUAUUGAGUCUCGACUUUCCUAUAACACCUGUGAUGAUUUGCAAACCUUCCAUGAAAUUCAACAAACCUGUAACUGUAGAAAUGGACACAUGUUUCAGCGCUCGAGAAAACAAAACCAUUCCAGUUGAUAUUCAAAUAAGAAAAGGAGACUCAGGUUGGAAAAAAGUCUCUGAAGCACUUUUAGGUAAUACCAACAAGAUUAGAUUUACUGUUUCACAUUUCUGUGGCAUGGCAGUGACUGUUUCCUCACAGUUAGUCGAAGAUGGAAAGUUCCAUCUUAUCAAUGACGUGUACAUUCAGGAACGCACUGCUCAAAUCUCUUCAGUAUUUUGCAAAGAUGAAAUAACGCAACGCACCAUGGAAGAAAGCCUACAGAGAGCAAACUUUGUCAAAUUCAUGGGACUCUCACAUGAAAUUCUCGAAGGUCUGGGUUCUUGGGUCAGUCUACGAUUUGAAUGCACGGAACCAAAACAAACAGUAAUCUCACAGGGAUAUCCAUCUUCGCAAUUCCAUAUCAAUAAAGAAAUUUUUGAAAAACGCAAACAUGUGGUUUUUUUUAAACCUCUUCCUCGUCCUCGGGAACAUACUGGAGUCAUCGAUGCCGAUUACUAUGUAAGAAUAAACGAAGACCCCGAAACAAAUCUAAUAGCGGUCGUAGAAUGGCCAAUUCAAAAUAGAGGUACUGGACCCAUCAACAUAUCAAAUGUCGUUCACACUGGACCAAGAGCAAUUACGAUGGCAACUGACAAUGCGAGAGUGGAGACCCACAGCACAGGAGAGACCAAUGUUGUUACAUAAAAGUGAUUGGGCUUGUGGGACAUAGGGAAUUGACUCUAAAAUAAAUAACUCGAUUUGAGGAACAAAAAUCAUCAUGCAUGGGAUUUUCAUCUGAUUUUUUUAUUCGGCAACUUUGAUAUCUGUCGAGCGCUUUGAUUGCAUUUCACCGGAUAUUCCAUUGAAACCAAAAAUAUACAUCAGGACCGAAAUGCUAGUUCUACAAUGCAUACUGAUUGUAUAUUUACUAUUAUAUAAUUAAAUGCGUAUAGUUGUCUUGAAUAUAUACUUUGCUUUUUUACCAUUUUUGCGCAUUUCUUUAAUAUAUUUCUCAUUAUCAUAUCGACACGAACGAGAGCUAAGAUAAAUAUGUACAAUUAGGAACAUUCAGAAAUUCAUAUUUUGAGCGCAUUUACCAAAAGUAAAUUGACUUCCCUUGGGGGGCAAUUUUACAUGGACAAUUUCACACUCCCUACUAAAUUCUCCCUCAAUACUGGUUUCGACCAAAGAUGGCAAAGGAUGGGAAGUAAAAUCCUCUGUUGUAUAACAUAGUCAUUGUCGAAACAAGCGACACAUAUUUACAUGCGAAGAAAAAUUAUAAAUAACUUUACCUUUGAAAAUUUGCCAAAAAUUGGAAGAGAGAAAUAAAGUUAGGAAACCCUGUUGUAUUCUCAAUAAUUUUUCUGUAAUUAAUAUUCGAAUCUUAGGGCAGAUUAGUUCAUUUAGUCAUGAAAAAAGAAAUUAUAUUUCCAUCCUUCAUUGAGUUGCCAACCCGGCGACUCUGAAUUUGUCUCAUAUUGCUUUCCCUUUCUAGACUGGCUACUUAUAAUGCUUGAAUGAUAAGCAAGCAUAUACUAUUAGAUUAUGAACAUACCUGUAUUUGAAAUUUCAAUGGUUUUCACAUGGUCUCACUUGGAAAAUUAUUUCUCCAAACGAGGCAAGGGACAAGCCCUCACAUUGUCAUGUUUAAAGAGGAAAGUCACAAAGUUCAACGCUUUUUAUCUCUUGGCUAUACCAAAAUGUAUUUGUGUUUAUCGGAAAAAAAUAUUUGUUCGACUUCGUUACAUAAUAUUCUUACUGCUGAGUGCAGACGUUUCGUUAUAUUUUAUAUAUGUAGCAUUCUCUUUCUCAUUGGCCACUAGCCCUAAGUUUCACUAGCUCCAUGCUAUGGUUUUUAUCUACGAUUCAUAUUCAAGCUGGAUUUUCAGAAUACCGCCUUAAUCUUUGUGCAUAUUUCAAUCUAGUUUAAGUUUUUCCAAAGAAAUUUUAUUCAUUAGAAUGAAGUUUUAUUCCUUAUGUAUAUCUUAAUUAUUGAAUAUAAAUUUGCCCGAGCGAGGUCCUUGUCUUUCAAAUAAAAAUUAAAGUGGCCCAUCAAUAAGAAGGCUGCAAUUUGCAAGCGACAAUGUGGAUCUUCGAAACUGACUCGCCUUUCUAUUUGUCAUUCUGAAAUUUUUAACAGUCUCCGCAAAAGAUUGACAAAACAUAUAUCGUUACUUCAUAUCAGUUGCGCAUUCACUCGUUAAGUAAACUGCGACUGAGUUUGUAGAGGUGCCCAACUCUUGAUUUUUAAAAUCUCCUAACAAUAAGUGCAGUUUUGAAAAGGUGAAAAAUUGGAAUAUUUUUAAAUCGAGAAUUUAUUUUAAAAAUACAUGUUUCAUUCUUAUUUACAUCUUGUAGUUAAAAAUUUAUAUAUGCAAUAUAUACCGUGUAUACUAGGUAUUUGAGUUGAAUAAAGGUAUUUUUUAAUUUGUGUUAAUUUACACUUAUUCAGACCAUAAGAAGCAUUGUUGUGCUUGAUUGUCGUUGUACAUGCAUGCUUUUGACAUAUGCACCUUUAAUCACUAGACCACUGAUUAUGAAAUGUGAAUUUACUAUCCAUUUAUUAGACCAGGAGUGGGAAAAUGACGGCCCGUGGGCCGGCCGAAGCAGUUCAUCCGACCCACUUAUAUGUGCUGAAAUAAUCUGCCGCUGCACGACUAUGUUUUUAAUGAAUUUAAAUCACCGCUAAAUAUAUUGAUGAAAAUAACGUCAUAAUGACCCGAUUGUUAUAUUGUGCUUCUAAUUAAUAUAUAAACGUUAGACUAUCUGCUGUAAGUAAACUGUUUUUAUUCAUAAUUUUUCAUACUCAGUUUUUGAGCAUGUGGCCCAAUAACCAAGUCUAUUAUAUGUAACUGGCCCACUCAGAAAAGUGAUUGCCCACACGUGUAUUAGACCAAUAUAUUUAAAAUUUUUAGUAGCAAAAAGUGAAGUGUCAUUAUUUUUAUUUUGGGAUUCUUAAAUAAGUUGAACAACUUUGUGUCGAUUUACAACCAAGUAAUCACUAAAAACAGAGUGAGAGAGAGAAGUUUAUUGAUUUGUCAACCAAAACAAAUAUAAGCAUAAAUACAAAUAAAUAAACACUGUUUAUGGUAAAGACUGGAGGGAGCGGUACGACCCUAUGGUCAUCUCAUUCAGCUCCCCCCCCCCCAAAUUUACUGUUAUGCAUAAGAUCCACAGGUAUUGGAUGACUAUGUGUGUAACGGCUAAUUAUAGAGUAUUAUACACUUAAAAAAAUGCACAAUUACAAGGGGCUAAUGAUUAAAGUUAGUUAUCAGGUUUGUUGAUCCAUGCAUAUUAAGAAAAAAUACUAAGAGUCUAGAAAAUUCUAAAAUGCUGAAAUUAUUUUUGAGCUUUUCUUGUGUUUUUGAGCUUCGCGUCUAUCAAGGCUUUGUGCUUUGGACAGGAUACCAUUAACGUGGCUUAAGUUUCUUGGGGCGUUGUAAUUCUGUUUACAUUUAUUCUAGAAAUUCUUUUGACCUAUCUUUGUAUACAAUUUCGCUUAGCAAAGCUUUAUAGAUUAGAUUAUCACUCAUCUGAAUCAUUUCUAAAUUUGAUAUUGCAGUUUCAUUUUUUAAUAUUUCCUUUUCUUCUUCCGCGUGUAAAAUUGCAAAACAGACUGUUUUAGGGUCUACUACAAUUUGGUCUAAAUUAUUUCGAUUCAGAAUUGUCUCUAAUUUAUUAGAUUUUGGUUGAGUUUUGGGCCAUGGAAAUUAAGCACGAUUUUUCUUCUUCGAAACCGGAACUGGCCAUAUUUGAAUUCAUUUUACUGAAAUCUUUUUAAAUCAAAGCUGUAACUCUCGCACUGUUUUAUUAAGAAAUUUAUGUGCUGUUGCUUUUGCUCUCAAUUUGCUAAUAGUUGUUUUCUUUAUAGAAAUCAAUAAAAAAAAUGUGUAAAAUGAUUACAAAUUG